UUUUUUUUCUCUUUUGCAAUUCAUUUCCCCUCUUCCUCAAAUAGUAGUUUUUGCUUAGGAUAGGAAAAUGAUCCUACUCUAGUACACAGUGAUCUCAAGAACAUUUACUAAAAAUGUAUUAAGCCAAAAUUAAGAUGAUUUCUGAUAUAUCAGUUUUCCAAGAGAAGUAAUAUAAUAUCAAAGCUUAAAAUAACUAUAGAGCUGAAUAAUUCAUUUCCAGUUUAAGCUUUAUCUAGAAGUUUCUUAAACCCUACAUGAAUCUCACUAUUCAUAUGGUCUGUUGAAAUUCUCAGACACAUUCACAAUCUCACAUGGAAGUGUUGUGACCAUGCUUUUUUAAGGCUUCUAAUAAAAAAUCUAUCUAAAAAGAUAUAAGAACUUAAAUGAAUGCAGCCCUUAAACCAAGAAAUUUCCCACCUAUCGUCUCAUUUGAUUCUUACAGGAAUCUUGUGAUAUACAUUAUGAUAAGUAUUUUACUCAUAUUUUAAUGAUGGGAACUUAGGAACAAAAAGAGCAAGUGAUUAUCCUUUUUGUCUUUGAUGCUUGCCAGAAAACCUAAUGUCUUCCUUUGCAGACAAGGCUAUUGCUCUCCACUAUGUCUAACAAAUAUGUUUGUCAGUUAUCUUUUGGAAAAAAAAAAGGAAUUAAAUGGAUAUCUAAAUGGAAGCCAUUCUUUAUUUAUUUGGGUUUGUUCUAAAGAGUCAGAACUGUGAUAUAAGAAGGGAGGAAGUUACUCUGAGCUGGUACGAAGCUUGUGCCUUCUAAGUACAGGGAUCUUUCCGCUUAUAUUUUUCAUAUAAUUUUCUUAAUGUUAACUAUAAUUAUAUUAAGACAAUUUUAGAUGUAGAUCUUACAAUUCUUAAAUGACUUCUAUCCUGUUUCUCUUUGAACUUGAGAUUCAAAUAUUACCUCUCUUUUGAAUUAAUUAUCAGGAAAGAAGAAAGCUCAGAAUCUUAGUGUUAAUUGCCCAUUUUUAAUAGAAGUAUCAUUGAUGUACAAUAUUAUAUGUCACAGGUAUACAAUAUGGUGAUUCACAAUUUUAAAAGUUAUGCUCAAUUUAUAGUUAUUAUAAAAUAUUGGCUAUGUUCCCUGUGUUGUGCAAUAUAUGCUUAUAGCUUAUUUUAUACACGAUAGUUUGUACCUCUUAAUACUCUCCCCUUACACUGCUUUUCACUCCUUCUCUCCCCCGAGUGGUAAACAGUAGUUUGUUCUCUGUAUCUGUGAGUCUGUUUCUUUUUCAUUAUAUUCACUAAUUUGUUGUAUUUUUUAGAUUCCACAUGUAAGUGAUCUCAUACAGUAUUUCUCUAACUUAUUUCACUUAGCAUAAUACCCUCCCAGUCCAUCUAUGUUGUUGCAAGUGGCAACAUUUCAUCCUUUUAUAUCGCUGAGCAGUAUUCCAUUUUGUAUACUUACCACAUCAUUUUUAUCCAUGCAUUGCUGUUAAUAGUUUUAAAUAUAAAAAAGAAAAAAGCUAACAGAAAUAACAAGAAAUUGAUCUUUCAGCAGCAGUGUUGAGCUAAUAUGAACACAGGAAUGUUUAGGGAAUGCUGAUAGUUUCUGCAUUUGUGUAAGUUGUGGAGGCUAAAAGGCUAAAUUUACCAGCCAUUAAGUUAAACUUUCCACAUUUUUGAAACCACUCCUAUAUACUCAUGAAUUGGAGAUACUGUGAACUUCUGGACAUAAAAAAGCUAGACUGGAUAUCAACUUGGACUACAGUCAAAAGUCUGGCACUAACUAGCUUUGUAACUUUGAGCUAUUUAAAAAAGCUUCUAGGUAAUAAUUUCAUUGGAAAAUAUAUAGAAAAUAGGCUAUAUUAUCUUUAAUAUUUCAGUCAGCUAUAAAGUUCUUUUCUAUUUGACUAAAAUUUUGUAAUAGUCUGUCUUACUUAAUUUAGGAGUAAUCGGGCAGUCAAGAAGAAAAGUUGUAUCCAGUUUUCUCUUCUCUCCAUCCUGUAAUGUCCCUAACAGUUUUAUUUUAUUCUAAAAAUGACAUUACAGAAAAAAAUUAUUUUCAUAGCUCAGGUAUUUUAAAAAUCAGCCAGAAGUCAUUGAUUUGAAAUUAUACGUGAUAGAUGAGAAUAUUUGCUAAGGGCAAGAAUUCUUUAAUUUUUUUAAAAAAGUAGCUAUAACACAUUCCUUUUAAAGGACAUAGCUGUUACAUUACAUCUAAAGUGGAUCCUUAGCCUUUUGCUUUAUUGUCCUGGUCAGUUAAAACUGAAAGGAGGUUUAAUUAAAAUGAUUGAGAAUUAGCUUAAGCUAGGGAGAAUGAUUUUGAAAUGGACAUAUAAUAUUAAUAUAUUUUGUAUUUUUAAAACCACAUUUCUACUUUAGUAGGCAGCUAUUUUAAACUAACAGAAAAACACAGUGCAUAAUUAAAAGAAAUAGCAUUCAGUAGACAUAACAGCUUGGUGUUUUACCCAUUUCCUGUUAGCUCAGAUUUAUUCCAUCUUGUUUAUUUUGGAGAUGAUUAUUAAGUAAAUGCACAAUGAAAUAAAUAACAUAUAAACUUUAAGAAUUAUUGAAUUUACUUAAAGCUAUUGACUAUUAAUGAUGAUUAAUUAGGUGUAUAAAAUCCAAACCACACACAUUUUUAGCAAUGAUUUAAAAUUAAGUUACUAAACAAAUACACAUAAAAUACUAUUUAAUGAACAGUAGAACUUCAUAGAAAAAAAGGGAGCAUGUUUAUAUCUUUACUGAGUAACUCUGUUUAUCAUUUUUAGAGAAUCAGAAAAGGGGAAAGGUAGAGUGAGUAAAAUUAAUGGGAUGUAGAAAGGUCAAGAAGCACUAACAUGGUAAACAGUAUCAAAUUAAUUUGCUAUUCACCAAAAAUUCCUAAGAUAAAAAUAAAAUCCUAAUUUAGAUACACCUACUAAUUUUAAACUCUGUAACUGUAUAUCUAAUUGUUUCAAGUCCUUUCUACCACCAUACACCUAUGAUCAUAGUUAAAAUUGAAAAGAAAAAUGCCCUGGGAGUUCCUGUUGUGGUUCAGCGGGUUAAGAAUCUGACUAGUACCCGUGAGAUGCAGGUUUGAUCCCUGGCCUUUCACAGUAGGUUAAAGUAUCAGUGAGCUGUGGUGCAAGUCACAGAUGCAGCUCAGAUCUGAUCUGCUGUGGCUGUUCUGUAGGCUGGCAGCUACAGAUCUUUGAAAUAUAACUUGGUAGUUUCUUAAAAAUAUACCUAUUGUAUGAUAUAUAUGUUAUAUGAUACAGCUAUCUCACACUAAGGUAUUUACUCCCAAAGAAGAGAAAGCAUAUGUUCAUUCAAAGACUUGUACACAAAUGACUAUUUUCAUAAUAGCAAAGCAACUGGAAACAAUCUAAAUGCCUAUCAAGAGGAAGAAACUGUAGGACACUCAAAACUGAACCAGAAGGUCCUUGUGCUGACUGAAAAGAAGUCAGAAAAAACAAGUAAGUAGCAUGUAAUUCCAUUUAUGUAGAAUUAAAAAAUGUGGAAACAAAACAGAUAGCUUUGUGACAGAAGGCAGGGAAGUGGUGAUGAAGGAUGGGGGGAGUAAGAGAUGGUUAAGGGGUACAAGAAGUCUUUUGAUAAAAAUAAUAAAAAUGUUCAGUAUUUUGAGUAUGGUAGUGGUUUCAAAUUUGUAUACAUUUCUCAAAACUCAUCUAAUUUAUAUUUUAAAUAUGUGCAGCAAAUUUUUUAUGUUAUACCUAAAGUUAUAAAAAAAGACAUCUUCAUUUCUUCUUUAAUUAAACACUACCAUAAUUAAACUGUCAAUGCUGCCUCAUAUCCAUAAUAACAGUCUGUGUGCCUUUCCUCCUAUUUCUUAUUUUCUAAAGGCACCAUAUUGAAGAUGGUAUAAAAUCACCUACUUUAUAUUUCUAAUGGUUUCUUAAAUUGUAGAGAGCAUUCCCCAUUCAAUCAAAGUUUAAGACAACUUUAAACUUAAUGUCUUAGUACCUAUCAGAUAAUAGAUCAGUAAAAUUUUAUAUAGGGAAAUAAAGUGCCAUUCCAUUGGAAACAAUGACUGCUAUGAAUUGCUUAAUUACUUCUUGAUACGCAUAUAUCAUUGUCCAUUUGUCCCUAACUUCUCUUUAAUGUGAACUGCAAUCUUACCACAGAAUAGCUUUAGCACCUAUGCCACAGCAGGCGACUCUACAUUACAGAAAAAUAAUUGGGCUUUCUUAGCCUCUAACUGCAUUUGACAGGCCUUAAGAUAGAAAUACUUUAUAUAGCAUCACGAAGUUGAUAUUGUUACAGAUGGUUCUAAAAGGAACUCCUUCUUAUUCCUUUUCAGUUAUUUACUGAAUUGAACUUUUUCUUAGGGUCUCACAGUGACUCCAUCAACUUCUGAAUACCAGAUUUUAUUCUAUCUUCAGUUAUACUGACUGUAAUACCCAGUUUCCUCUCCUGUCAACUUGUUCAUUUUCACUCUAGGCCAAAGUCAAUAAUUAGCUUACACAACAUAAAGAAUAGGUGACUUCUAUCUGCCUUGCUGACUCUAUUUUUCUUAUUACAGUAGAAUAAUGCAGAGCUCGUAACAUCUCCUGGACUGUUGGUAGGUAGUCUGACAUAACGCUUUCAACCACCUCAUGUUCAUAAAAUGUAUGGACUAAAGUUUUGUAGUAAUGGUACAGUCAUAAAAAUAGUGGAAAAAGAGCAGGAAUUUUGGUGGCUCACCAAAAUUAAAACAACACAGCAACAUGGCAAUAGCAAACAGCAAUUGUGAAAGUAUCUUUGGGCUAGUCAUUUUAUACACAUUUGGUUCAGUUUCCUCAGAUUAGAAAAGAGAAUAAAAUAAUGUGAACUUAGUUCAUGUAUAUGUAGAAAUAAGAUUGAGUUAGUAGAUAUUCAGCACCAAGAAGAUACCUGAUACAAAAUGGGGGUACAAUAAAUAUUAGCUGCUAUUAUUAAUAGCUGCUAAUGUUAUUAGUUAAAUAUAAAAUAUAUGCACUACCUAAAUUCCCCCCAAAUUUUGUUUUUAAUUGUAAUGAUUAUGUCAAAUUGGACUUAGGCUAAAGAUAUUUCAUGCUUUUGUUUAUAUUGUAAAUCCUGAAAAAGUUUUAUCAUCAAACAUAAAAUAAAAUUAUUCCAUCCCAUGUUUAGCAAGAAUGUUACAAAGCAAAGCAAUGAAUUGCUGUUGGACAUAAAAACUGCAACUGUAUCACAGGGGAGAAAUUUUGAUGUUUGUAACAAAAUGGGGUGUGUGUGUAUAAAUCGGUGACUCCAAUAUUUACCGAGAAAAUAUAUCAUUGUUUAUAAAGAUAAAAAACAUAAAUGCUGAUGUAUACUACCGUUGAUUAGAUACAAACAUGAAAAAUAAUACAUGAAUACAUAUUUUUAAAAAGAAAUAAAAGGAGAUUAUAAUACAACUUGCCUAUUUCUAUGUAGAUUUUAAAGAAAGUUUAUGAAUCUUCAUAAACUGAAUAUGUUUUCUUGAUAUUAGUAUUUUGGUAAGUUCACUUGCCACUUUUUGCUUAUAAGAAUUAUAGAUUAGAAAAAAUAAAAAAAGAAUAAACCUUAAAUUGUUUUAUUUAUCAUUUUCUCUUCCAAUUAUUUUCUGAUUUUUGUAUACGUCUCUAUAAACAAAGGGUAGAUAAGCUACAAUUUAGACAUUUUUAUAAAAUCUAGAUUUAAAUAAUUUAAAGAGAUAGGUGACUUCUUUUAGAGUGAAUGUUGAUUCUCCCAUAGAUAAUUUCAAAUGACAAUUGUCAGUUGCAUCAACUGAAAAAGAAAUAGUACCAACUCCUUAUGGUUGAUUAGAGGAAUUACCUGUUUUCACAUUUACACUCCAUUCCCUUCCAUCACGAAUGGGGAAAAUCAAGAUAACUGAUUCCAAUCCCACAGAGAAACAGAUCAGCUACUAUGUAAAAGUAUGACUUCUAGGAGUUAUCUGACGGCUCAGAGGAUUCAGGAUCUGACAUUGUCAUGGAUCACUGCUGUGGUGUGGGUUCUAUUCCUAGCCUGGGAACUUCCGCAUA
RNAcentral lists this long non-coding RNA (5935 nucleotides) under Sus scrofa (pig). RNAcentral describes it as "lncRNA (ENSSSCG00000057263.1)". Lineage: Eukaryota; Metazoa; Chordata; Mammalia; Artiodactyla; Suidae. The record is from RNAcentral.